CUGUUAGAACGUGGAAUUUGAAAUCUGAUAUAAUAUGCUCCUUUAACGAUGUCCUUUUCAGAUUCUAAAUCCUCCUCCCAUGGCGGAGUCUCGAAGUACAAGUGUUUCCGUCAGUUCAGCCGUGACCAUUCUUUGGAUGGUUUUGUUGGGUUAUUGCACGAAAUGCUUGGAUCAACCAGAACGGAGAAUUCCAAGUCUUGGAAGGCGCUCAUCAUGGAUAAAGUGACAGUGAAAGUCAUUGUCCCAUUCAUGUAAAAUGGCAGAUAUCACCGACCAAGAAAUUUCGUGUGAGCACAACUUAAUCUUUGUCGUUCGUUUUUUUUCUCUCCUGCUUUCCAAAUUCCGGUGUAUUCCCAGUUAUUCAUGUGCAUGUCUCUUUUGUGUUAGAUACAGGAAAUCUA
Molecule: long non-coding RNA, 401 nt
Organism: Rosa chinensis
Lineage: Eukaryota; Viridiplantae; Streptophyta; Magnoliopsida; Rosales; Rosaceae
Exons: 3
Source: RefSeq, a predicted model, not a curated record